Molecule: long non-coding RNA, 4666 nt
Organism: Acipenser ruthenus (sterlet)
Lineage: Eukaryota; Metazoa; Chordata; Actinopteri; Acipenseriformes; Acipenseridae
Exons: 4
Source: RefSeq, a predicted model, not a curated record
UUGGAACUGUAGCAUGGACAUAUUGUUCGUUAACAUCAUACAAUGAGUAAUAAAACAGCGGGUUCUCAUGUUCGCUUUUUGUUUAAUGUAGCUAAAAGCAACAGCAGCAGUUUUAGCUGCAAGACCUUCUCCUCAUGCACAUAUUCAAAGCAAUUUCCCUCCAAGUAUUAGUUGGCACUAGACUGUGCACACUGUUCUAAAAUAGAAAACAAAAACGUUUUAAUGAUCCUCUCUACGUUGUAAAAAGCCUGUUGCGGUCUACAAAUAAGUCGCUUAUGAAACGAUCCACAGUGAAAAUGAAUGCUAACAUUAUAAAUGAACAAAACAUAUACUGUGCACAAAAUAUAAACAAAUAUCACGACGUGACACCGCUUUUACAACGAUAUUUACAUUUUGUAUCUUCGUUGUGUUAAAUAUUAAGUUAAGGGACAAUGAAGAAGUUUGUAUUCACUUGGAUUUGUCCCACAGCAGGGCGGAGUCUAUUUCCAUCAUGGCAACUUCAAAAUAGUUUGCCGUCUGGAAACAGCUUUAUGCGAAGUGAUUGAAGAGCGAUGAUAACAUAGUUUAAAAUUAUUCAAGUAUUUAAAUAACCCAAACCCAUCGACAUGAUGCCUACCAGCACUUCUAAAAUGAGGAGGCCGGCUGUUGAAGUUACAGCGUAUUUGUUUUGUCUUUUGACCCCAUGAUUAUCAAAAAAAGCAGGUCACACGAAUACUUACAAUGAAUGAGAAACAUGACAAUGUUUCUUUUGAUGUAUUUUCAGAUCAUCUAGAAAUGCUGCAACACCAAAAAAGCUCAAUGCAUCUGGUUCAGCGACAAUGAACAAAUUUAACCAGACUGCAAGUCGCAGCAUCUCAGGAUCAACGAGCCGAUGAAGUAUGGGUUUACACGCUGACAGCAAAAUACUGUAUAACGGCUCUCUUCAGAGGCAGAAAACAACGCCUAUGUGGGAUUGUGUAAAAACAGAGCUGGAAAUGGUCAAUACAUUGAGAGGAUGAAGCAGACUUUUAAUGGCGCACCAAAAACCAAAGAAGUCCAGUGUGAAAAAAUCGACGUUGCUGACGCAGGUGUGAUGGCAACCACGUGUGACAUGUAUGACACCUUCCUUCCAUUCUGCUGAAGUGAAGACCAUGGACUUUCACGUGGCAGAGAAAUCAAGUCAAUAUGCAAGUUUCAUAAGCAGUGGACCUGAAAGAACAAUGUCUAGAAUGAGUGAAACAAGUAUGACUUGGAUCCUACUGUUGUGAGUCCAGCCAGCCCUGGAGUGAAUCUCACCGCACUGCUGUUUGCUACAAAAACAGACUGUAUCCUAAUUGGUGACAGUGAUGGACAAGUCAGUGUUUAUGAACUAAAGAACCUACAAACUGGAGAAGAUAGCCAGCCGAAUGCACUAUAUGACAUAAUUGGGACAACUCUGGCCAGUCAACUGUAAUUAACAUCGCAAUUUUAAGUACCAAAGACGCAAAAUAAAUGUACACAGCUGUUUUUUUGGGAUGCAUAUUAUUCAUAUAGUGUGUAUUUAUAAUAAAAGAAAAUGUAACUAAAUGUAAUACUUCUAUUCACCGUGUUAGUUGCUUUUAUAUAAUGGUUAGUCAUAAAAGUAUAGUGGGAGACAGACAGUCUCUCUCAAAGAAGAAUAAUCAGAUCAAAGUCUAAUUCAAACCGUCUUGUUCUAAAUGUACUUACCAAUAUAUCUUAUUGCUUUAAUGUUGUAGAUGCAGACUGAGAAACAUGUAUUGAAAUAUGGCUUUACCAAAAUAAGAACAAUGAUUAAAUGAGAAAAAAAGAUAUUGUGAAACACGUCCAGUAAACUCUGGGGGAAACUCAUUUUUUCUGGGGGAAAAGGUAACAAAAUGCACAAUAUUUGGGUUGGUGUUGGUCAUUUUUUGUUUUAGUUCAAAACAAAAAUGAUUGAAAAAGAUUAAGUUUCCAACACAUGCAAAGUUCUCUCACAUCUAACCAUGAUUAAGCCUCGAUUGCAGCAUAGUUGGUAUUAAGAGAUUAUUACCUCCAGGUUUUGAGAACGUUCCAAUUAUCAUGAUAAAUAGGGCUGUGUAUGAAAAAUAAUUAAAUGAGUUUACGAGAUCAAAAGAAAACAAUCCACAAUUACACUCACAGGCAAAGGCAUACCUACAGAAACAUACACAAUACGAAACAUACGUUUCAUUUUUUAAAUAUCACUGUAAUUCCCUACUGUUAGAACAACAGUCUAGGAGUAUAGGAGGCAGUGUGGUCCAGUGGUUAAAGAAAAGGGCUUGUAACCAGGAGGUCCCCGGUUCAAAUCCCACCUCAGCCACUGACUCAUUGUGUGACCCUGAGCAAGUCACUUAACCUCCUUGUGCUCCGUCUUUGGGGUGAGACGUAGUUGUAAGUGACUCUGCAGCUGAUGCAUAGUUCACACACCCUAGUCUCUGUAAGUCGCCUUGGAUAAAGGCGUCUGUUAAAUAAACAAAUAAUAAUAAUAAUAACAGUCUCCAGUCUGAUUAUGCCAACUGAAGGACAAGCGAUUGUAAUUGGGUAUAAAUUCUGUGAAAGAACCUUGAUAUUUGUAUGAUUCCUUUUUAAAAAAUGUAAACCAUGGUGAUAUAUGUACCACUGCAAUGAACAAACAAUUGAAUCUGACAAAGGGUGUAACUGCUGUAUGCGCAAUAGUAUAUCAAACCUCACAAUUCUGCCCCAGAUUGUCUUUUUGAUUCACAAAAAACACCCUUGCUCUUCCAGACACUGCCCUUCUGAAUAUGGUCACAAUGAUAGAACUUCAAAAUUCACUUUGUACACCAGCUUUAUAAUUCAUGUUGUGGGAAAAUUCAGGCACAUUUUUCAUCAGUAUAUCAGGGACAAAAAUCUAUGUCUUAUUGAUUGAGUAAUUUAGACUUUUCCCCAUGCUUAUACUGUACAUUUACUAUAAUUUAACAUGGUUUGUACAAUGCUUUUUAAAAACCUGUUAGUGCUUUAGAAUGCUUGACUGUAUUUCACUGUAUUUUGUGAGGCUUUUACCAUAAAUAAAAGGGUAUAUUACACUACAAGCAUAUUUUGAAAAGCCUUUAAUUUAACUAGGAAAAUUAGACCUUAUUUCAGGAUUAGCAAACAAUAUGCCAGAUACUGAAAACACAAAGCCAAUGUAAAUAUUCCAGUGGGAUUAGGACUAAAACAAAUGCAGAGAGCGGACCAGCACAAGUUUACUUAAACAGCACACAAGUAUUUCAAAAUCUUUUCUUGCGAUAUGUGUUAAAACAGAACACUUUCAACACAGUACGUUAAUGUGCUCACAACAGCCUAAUAGGCCCAUUACAGUGAGAGCAAAGUGGCAAUCAAGCACUUAACUUUUUUUAACAACUGUUCUACUAUCUGUCUUUAAAAUUAGUCAGCCGUGCUUAUUUGUAAGCUAUUUAUAAUAAAAGGUAAUUGAGCAUUUCUAAAUGGCUUGUCAUUAUAGAUAUGUUUUCCAGAUUAUAGCUAUAAAGCCCAAGGACAGAAUAAACUAGCCUAUGGCUCACCAAAGGUCUACUGGGAAAUCAUGUACAUUAUGUGGCAUUAUCAUGACAGACAAUUAAAGAUUAGAACACCAUGGACCGCUUUAUGAAGCAAUACAAAGGCAGUUUUUUGUAUUAAUGUGGAGAAAAUGAUUGUCAAUAUACUGUCAACUACCAAAAAUAAAAUGAGUUACUGAACAAUAUAUUUAAAUUAUUGUUCUCAGUAGUUUCUUGCUUGGUUUAUUCAGUUUUUCCUCUGGAAAUUGCUUUACAAUUAUUUCCCAUCUGCCUACAAAUCAAAUGAAAUAGUAGCAAAACACAUAUAUCUGAUAAAAAGUGUAUUGCAGUAUGCCAUUGUAAAUACCUACUGUUGCAAAAUACAGUAAAAGCAAAUUAAAGCUUGUCAAAUUCAAACUAUGUAAAAUAAAGCUCCUAGUUAACCAUAGCAAAGGAAAUAUAAUGCUCACCAUUACUUUGCUACAGUCAAAUACCAUGAUAUAAAUUGUGCAGAAUGCCAAAGCACAAGGUACUUCUUUAAACUUUUAUUUAGUUAGAUGUUAGGUGUGCACCUGCCUGAUGAAUGCAUCAACAGUCUACACGACUUCUAGCAUAACAGUAUGGACAAAUACAUUAUCUGGAAUCUCAGAAAAUCUGUGGAACAUAUGAUUUACUGUACAAAAUGUUAAUAUUACAACACUAGUAAAACACAUAUACAUAUACAGAUCCUUAUAUCUGAAUUGUCCACUUUUAGUUUUCAAACAACAGCUUUCAAUUGUUCCUUUUAGAAGAAAACUAUAUUUAAAAAAAUAUGUUAUCUACUCUUCAUAACUUCAGUUGUUGUGCAUUUGAAUUCAUUAGCACUGCAGUACUUUUAAGGCCAGAGCACUAUAGUAAUUAAACCUGGGGUUUUUAAAAUGGAAUGGGAUGACCGCAAAGGAUGUAAUUCUAACCGUCAUUAUGCUUGUAAAGUGAUAAUUGCUGGACGGGAAUCACUUUACACAAAGUGAGUCGCAAAUGGCACCAUAAAACAUAAGGGGAAACCAAAAAUGAAUUAUCCCUGUGAGUAGCCUCUGUGUAAAGCAAAAACAGGAAUUAGUGGAUAUGGCAGCCAAUAGCAGCUAGGUAGCAGGCUACAUAUAUUGAAGCUGAGCAGAGGUGUGUUCACAGUCAGCAGCUUGGAAGAGCAGCUCCUC